GACGGAGGGUGCUAGCGUUGUUCGGAAUGACUGGGCGUAAAGGGCGCGUAGGCGGCUCGUGAAGUCGGGUGUGAAAGCCCGGGGCUCAACCCCGGAACGGCAUCCGAUACUGGCGGGCUUGAGACCGGGAGAGGAGGGUGGAAUACCCAGUGUAGAGGUGAAAUUCGUAGUUAUUGGGUGGAACACCGGUGGCGAAAGCGGCUCUCUGGCCCGGAUCUGACGCUGAGGCGCGAAAGCGUGGGGAGCAAACAGG
RNAcentral lists this ribosomal RNA (253 nucleotides) under uncultured bacterium. RNAcentral describes it as "partial 16S ribosomal RNA". It matches the Rfam family "Bacterial small subunit ribosomal RNA", at positions 524 to 776 of the family's 1533-position model. The record is from RNAcentral.